This 366-nucleotide ribosomal RNA is filed under the name Triticum aestivum (bread wheat). RNAcentral describes it as "partial small subunit ribosomal RNA". Lineage: Eukaryota; Viridiplantae; Streptophyta; Magnoliopsida; Poales; Poaceae. The record is from RNAcentral.
AUGUCGCUCGUUGAUCUCCACUUCAACAAAGGGCAAGCAUUUGCUGAGGAAGUUUGGAGGAGAUGGAGAGUGUCGAUCAACUUUGAAGAAGGUAAAGAUCUCCAAGAAUUCGUCUUCGUUGCUGAAUUUACAAGAUCCAGGAUCAGGCUUACGGAAGAAUUCGUGGCCACCAUUCUUCUAUCAUGCUUGGGUGGACGGGCAUCCCUAUUCAAAGUCAAAUUGCUGCAGUACUGGCCAAUCAGAUUUUCUGUGUCAUCCAAGGAAGUGGUUUCUCUAUCAUCAAUGAAGGUAACAUUUCAAUUCCUGAACUCAAUGUCAAUUUCCUACUCGAGGAUCUGGUGGCCCAAAUUCUUGUUGGUAACUUGA